This 1290-nucleotide ribosomal RNA is filed under the name uncultured Synergistota bacterium. Its description in RNAcentral is "bacterial SSU rRNA". It matches the Rfam family "Bacterial small subunit ribosomal RNA". The record is from RNAcentral. Lineage: Bacteria; Thermotogati; Synergistota.
AGAGUUUGAUUAUGGCUCAGGACAACGCUGGCGGCGUGCUUAACACAUGCAAGUUGAACGGGCAGACUUGUCUGUUAGUAGCGGACGGGUGAGUAAUGCAUGAGGAGCUGUCAUAGGGAGGGGGACAACAGUUGGAAACGGCUGCUAAUACCCCGUAGCCGGAAGGUGAAAGGAGCGAUCCGCCCGAUGAGGUACUCAUGUCCUAUCAGCUGGUUGGUGGGGUAACGGCCUACCAAGGCGACGACGGGUAGCCGGCCUGAGAGGGUGAACGGCCACACUGGAACUGAGAUACGGUCCAGACUCCUACGGGAGGCAGCAGUGGGGAAUAUUGGGCAAUGGGGGGAACCCUGACCCAGCGACGCCGCGUGAGGGCGGUUCGUUGACCUCUUUUGUACGGGGGAAACUGUACGAAUAAGUCCCGGCAACUACGUGCCAGCAGCCGCGGUAAUACGUAGGGGACGAGCGUUGUCCGGAAUUACUGGGCGUAAAGGGCGCGUAGGCUGUGCUGCAAGUCAGCUGUGAAAUAUCUGGGCUUAACCUGGAUAUGCGGAUGAGACUGCAGUGCUGGAGUGCUGUAGAGGCAAGUGGAAUUCCCAGUGUAGCGGUGAAAUGCGUAGAUAUUGGGAAGAACACCGGUGGCGAAGGCGACUUGCUGGGCACAACUGACGCUGAGGCGCGAAAGCCAGGGGAGCGAACGGGAUUAGAUACCCCGGUAGUCCUGGCCGUAAACGAUGAAUGCUAGGUGUGGGUGUAGAGAUACAUUCGUGCCGGAGUUAACGCGAUAAGCAUUCCGCCUGGGGAGUACGGUCGCAAGAUUGAAACUCAAAGGAAUUGACGGGGGCCCGCACAAGCGGUGGAGCACGUGGUUUAAUUCGAUGCAAACCGAAGAACCUUACCUGGGUACAUGACGUGGUACGAUCUGAAAAGUGAGGAUUGAGCGUCAAGGUGCUGCAUGGCUGUCGUCAGCUCGUGUCGUGAGAUGUAGGGUUAAGUCCCGAAACGAGCGCAACCCCUAUUCUAUGUUACAAGUGUCUUAGAAAACCGCCUCGGUAAAACGAGGAGGAAGGUGGGGAUGACGUCUGGUCCGCAUAGCCCUUAUGUCCUGGGCUACACACGCGCUACAAUGGCCGAUACAGUAGGAAGCCAAAUCGUAAGAUGGAGCUAUCCUCAAAGUCGGUCUCAGUUCGGAUUGAGGUCUGAAAUUCGACCUCAUGAAGUUGGAUUUGCUAGUAAUCGUAGAUCAGCAAUGCUACGGUGAAUACGUUCUCGGGUCUUGCACACACCCCCGUC